Molecule: ribosomal RNA, 1371 nt
Filed under: Triticum aestivum (bread wheat)
Lineage: Eukaryota; Viridiplantae; Streptophyta; Magnoliopsida; Poales; Poaceae
Description: partial small subunit ribosomal RNA
Source: RNAcentral
AUGGGGCGUUCGAAGGCUAGCAUGGACGACAGUGACAUAGCAGAGUUGAUUGGCAUGAAGGGCGAAUUUCUGCAAAAUCGUGAAGACACAGCCGAGAUGCAAGGUGAGCUUGACGACCUUCGCAAAGAUGUUCAUGCUAUACAUCUCAAGCAGGACGCCAUGACCCAAGUCAUGUCAGGGGUGCAAGAAGCAGUAGCUGCUCUCAACACGCAGUUAUCUACUAUGGCAGAUGUUCUCAAAAGCUUCAACCGUGCACCCAGCCCGGUGCAAAUACUCCCAGAGAAACAAGUUCCCAUGGGUCAGCCAGCCCCCGCCACUGAUAUACCCCAAUCUUCUGGUGAGGCAGCAGUUCUAGACACCACCAGGCCAUUAACUGAUGAAUUGUGCAAAAUAUUGGCACUGGAACAGGAGAAAACUAAACAGUGUGCUCUGCAAUUGCCUCCGAACCUGCCUCUAGUCAGAGUACCAACGAGGUCCGCUCCCCCUGGUUAUCCUGAAGUACCCAGGCGUGAGAUCCAGUCGGGCAACGUUACCCCUACAGCAACAUAUCGCACAUCACAUACAACUAAGUUUCACAACUUUCAGCCACCAGCAGUCAAGACACAUUGGGAGGAUUUCUACCGUCAGUACGAGCAGGAGAUGCGUACUCAAUUCCUGAAGUCUAUCACUAAAGGUCCUCGCCUUGAUUUCCCUUCCUUCGAUGGGGUCAAUCCAGAGGGUUGGAUCCGUCAAUGUGAGAAAUUCUUCCAGAUGGCUGGCAUUCUCUCUAAGAAACCCUCCUGGUCUGAAUUUUACACUGAGAUUUUGCACAGAUUCUCAGCAUCUAGCUCAUAUGAUUUGACUGAAAAAUUCUCCUCUCUCAAGCAAAACAAUCUGACAGUAGCUGAAUAUACAGACCAGUUUGAAGAACUUAUGGCUGAUGUUCAACAAGAGAACCCACAAAUUUCUGAAAGUUGGUUUGUGCGCUGCUAUGUUAAUGGGCUUCGCUCUCAACUCAAAUUCCAAUUGAGACCAUUGAGGCCAGUUACAUUAACUGAUGCCUAUUGGUUAGCUGUUUUAACUGAUGCCUAUUGGUUAGCUGUGGACAUGGAACAGGGAGCACCAGCCAAGAAGAAGUUCCAACAAUACUCUUCCUCAUCCAAAACUCCUACUGUAUUCCCCAAGCAAACCAACUCUCUGCCGGAUAAAGAAGCUGAAUUUAAAGCACCUGUCACUACAAUGAGAGCAAGGGAACCAGGGAAGUGCCAGAGAUGUGGUGCUCAGUGGUUUCAUGGUCACAAGUGCAAACAAGCCCCUAUAAUCAAUGUACUGACUGGGGAAAUGCCCACUGAGAACAUAGUAGAACAAGAAGAAAUGGAAGAGGCAGAAUAG